AAAAAUUAAAUACUGUAACUGAAUCUUGAAAAUGGUCUGUAAUGAAACAUCCUGGACCUGAGCCCCAAGAACAGUAGGGUUAUAAAGGAUGGAAAAGAGGAAGAAUCAGCAUUGCGGAUGGGAAACUGAGGUACAGAGAGUUGAAGACUGAAAUUUUCAGAGGAGCCCAGUGGAGUUAGGGGCAAGAACUCUGAAGACAAGACUGGCUGGUUUUGCUUCUCCCUCCUCACCCUGGAUCCCUUAUAGGAAUCACAGAUGUAAGUGCUGCAGGAAGUUCGUAUCCAUCCAGUUUC
This 293-nucleotide long non-coding RNA is filed under the name Chelonoidis abingdonii (Abingdon island giant tortoise). RNAcentral describes it as "lncRNA (ENSCABG00000002313.1)". The record is from RNAcentral. Lineage: Eukaryota; Metazoa; Chordata; Testudines; Testudinidae.